GCGCUUGUAGCUCAACGGAUAGAGCGCCAGACUUCGGAUCUGGCGGUUAGGGGUUCGAGUCCCUUCAAGCGCGCCA
Molecule: transfer RNA, 76 nt
Filed under: Helicobacteraceae bacterium
Lineage: Bacteria; Pseudomonadati; Campylobacterota; Epsilonproteobacteria; Campylobacterales; Helicobacteraceae
Description: tRNA-Arg
Rfam family: tRNA
About the family: Transfer RNA (tRNA) molecules are approximately 80 nucleotides in length. Their secondary structure includes four short double-helical elements and three loops (D, anti-codon, and T loops).
Source: RNAcentral